GGGCCACCAUCGAGUUAUAUGGUAAGGAGAGAUUUCGACUGUUCGAUCCCAUGUUCAGAAUGCUGAUGACCGUCUGAUAGCACAUGGAAGCCCACCUCACCCAUACACCAUGAUGUGGAUCGAAAAAAAAUCUGUGGACCGCGCCUUCGCACCUGUGGACUGAGUGAUCGGUCCAUGGUGCACCAACUGAUUAAAUAGGCUUGGGUUCGAGCCAAUUUGACUCAAUUUUGGGCUAAUUUUGAGCCCAAUUUGGUUUGGAAUUGAGCUUGCCUUUGAGUCUCUAAUUCGGA
Molecule: long non-coding RNA, 290 nt
Filed under: Elaeis guineensis (African oil palm)
Lineage: Eukaryota; Viridiplantae; Streptophyta; Magnoliopsida; Arecales; Arecaceae
Description: long non-coding RNA (EGUI_LNC027885)
Source: RNAcentral